This 331-nucleotide unclassified non-coding RNA is filed under the name soil metagenome. RNAcentral describes it as "partial contains 5.8S ribosomal RNA, internal transcribed spacer 2, and large subunit ribosomal RNA". The stretch from base 1 to 120 matches the Rfam family "5.8S ribosomal RNA", at positions 35 to 154 of the family's 154-position model. The record is from RNAcentral.
GAUGAAGAACGCAGCGAAAUGCGAUAAGUAAUGUGAAUUGCAGAAUUCAGUGAAUCAUCGAAUCUUUGAACGCACAUUGCGCCACCUGGUAAUCCGGGGGGCAUGCCUGUUCGAGCGUCAUUUCACCACUCAAGCCUCGCUUGGUAUUGGGCAACGCGGUCCGCCGCGUGCCUCAAAUCGACCGGCUGGGUCUUCUGUCCCCUAAGCGUUGUGGAAACUAUUCGCUAAAGGGUGUUCGGGAGGCUACGCCGUAAAACAACCCCAUUUCUAAGGUUGACCUCGGAUCAGGUAGGGAUACCCGCUGAACUUAAGCAUAUCAAUAAGCGGAGGA